UUGAAAACUACGGUGGAUAGAGAUGGGCACGCGCAAGAUUAGCUAGUUGGUGAGGUAACGGCUCACCAAGGCGACGAUCUUUAGGGGGCCUGAGAGGGUGAUCCCCCACACUGGUACUGAGACACGGACCAGACUCCUACGGGAGGCAGCAGUGAGGAAUAUUGGACAAUGGGUGAAAGCCUGAUCCAGCCAUCCCGCGUGCAGGAAGACGGCCCUAUGGGUUGUAAACUGCUUUUAUCUGGGGAUAAACCUACUUACGUGUAAGUAGCUGAAGGUACCAGAAGAAUAAGCACCGGCUAACUCCGUGCCAGCAGCCGCGGUAAUACGGAGGGUGCAAGCGUUAUCCGGAUUUAUUGGGUUUAAAGGGUCCGUAGGCGGACUGAUAAGUCAGUGGUGAAAUCCGACAGCUUAACUGUCGAACUGCCAUUGAUACUGUUAGUCUUGAGUAAGGUUGAAGUGGCUGGAAUAAGUAGUGUAGCGGUGAAAUGCAUAGAUAUUACUUAGAACACCAAUUGCGAAGGCAGGUCACUAAGUCUUAACUGACGCUGAUGGACGAAAGCGUGGG
Molecule: ribosomal RNA, 565 nt
Filed under: Chryseobacterium sp. DH45
Lineage: Bacteria; Pseudomonadati; Bacteroidota; Flavobacteriia; Flavobacteriales; Weeksellaceae
Description: bacterial SSU rRNA
Rfam family: Bacterial small subunit ribosomal RNA
Source: RNAcentral